Molecule: transfer RNA, 85 nt
Filed under: Flavobacteriaceae bacterium PRS1
Lineage: Bacteria; Pseudomonadati; Bacteroidota; Flavobacteriia; Flavobacteriales; Flavobacteriaceae
Description: tRNA-Leu
Rfam family: tRNA
About the family: Transfer RNA (tRNA) molecules are approximately 80 nucleotides in length. Their secondary structure includes four short double-helical elements and three loops (D, anti-codon, and T loops). Further hydrogen bonds mediate the characteristic L-shaped molecular structure. tRNAs have two regions of fundamental functional importance: the anti-codon, which is responsible for specific mRNA codon recognition, and the 3' end, to which the tRNAs corresponding amino acid is attached (by aminoacyl-tRNA synthetases). tRNAs cope with the degeneracy of the genetic code in two manners: having more than one tRNA (with a specific anti-codon) for a particular amino acid; and 'wobble' base-pairing, i.e. permitting non-standard base-pairing at the 3rd anti-codon position.
Source: RNAcentral
GCGGCUGUGGUGGAAUUGGUAGACACGCUAGACUUAGGAUCUAGUGCCGAAAGGUGUGGGGGUUCGACUCCCUUCAGCCGUACAA